CCUACGGGUGACAGCAGUGAGGAAUAUUGGUCAAUGGACGCAAGUCUGAACCAGCCAUGCCGCGUGCAGGAAGACGGCUCUAUGAGUUGUAAACUGCUUUUGUACGAGGGUAAACGCAGAUACGCGUCUCUGUCUGAAAGUAUCGUACGAAUAAGGAUCGGCUAACUCCGUGCCAGCAGCCGCGGUAAUACGGAGGAUUCAAGCGUUAUCCGGAUUUAUUGGGUUUAAAGGGUGCGUAGGCGGUCGGAUAAGUUAGAGGUGAAAUCCCGAGGCUCAACUUCGGAAUUGCCUCUGAUACUGUUCGGCGAGAGAGUAGUUGCGGUAGGCGGAAGGUAUGGUGUAGCGGUGAAAUGCUUAGAGAUCAUACAGAACACCGAUUGCGAAGGCAGCUUACCAAGCUACUUCUGACGGUGAGGCACGAAAGCGUGGGGAGCAAACAGGAUUAGAUACCCCAGUAGUC
Molecule: ribosomal RNA, 460 nt
Filed under: uncultured bacterium
Lineage: Bacteria
Description: partial 16S ribosomal RNA
Rfam family: Bacterial small subunit ribosomal RNA
Source: RNAcentral